Molecule: ribosomal RNA, 224 nt
Filed under: uncultured bacterium
Lineage: Bacteria
Description: partial 16S ribosomal RNA
Rfam family: Bacterial small subunit ribosomal RNA
Source: RNAcentral
GAUCAUGGCUCAGGAUGAACGCUAGCUACAGGCUUAACACAUGCAAGUCGAGGGGCAGCGGGAUUGAAGCUUGCUUCAAUUGCCGGCGACCGGCGCACGGGUGAGUAACGCGUAUCCAACCUUCCGUACACUCAGGGAUAGCCUUUCGAAAGAAAGAUUAAUACCUGAUGGUAUCUUAAGCACACAUGUAAUUAAGAUUAAAGAUUCAUCGCUGAUAGAUAGGC